CCGAUCCGGAAACGCUCCCCGGCUAAAACAUUCAGAAAAAUAGAAAACGUUCUCGGUUCGCUCAGCCGGCAUUGUGUUUUCAACAAUGCCACGCCUAAAACCAACAGUGACACGCCUAAGACCUCACCCACGAUCAAGAAAUAUGGCAGAUCGAGAUGCCUCUCCUGGGUUUCUGCUAGUUUGGCUUACAGGACCCUGACACAGCAACUAUUCAGCUCAAUACUGUCUCUGUCUCUGUCAAGUUUAAGAUUUAUGCCAUCAAGUGUUUCAUUCAAUCUAUAAUUCAAGUAUCAAGCUAGUAUCAAGAGCACAGGACUGUAUUUGCAUGACCAAAUGUUGUUGUAUUGUUGUAUGUUAUUAAUUUUUUGAUUUUUAAUUGUCAAAAAUAUUUUAAUAUAA
Molecule: long non-coding RNA, 399 nt
Organism: Amphimedon queenslandica
Lineage: Eukaryota; Metazoa; Porifera; Demospongiae; Haplosclerida; Niphatidae
Exons: 3
Source: RefSeq, a predicted model, not a curated record